GACAAGGUGGCCCAGUGGUUAAGGCUAUGGACUCUUAAUCCGUUGUGCCAUGCAUGUGUAGGUUUGAAUCCCAUCCUCAUCU
Molecule: transfer RNA, 82 nt
Filed under: Ovis aries (sheep)
Lineage: Eukaryota; Metazoa; Chordata; Mammalia; Artiodactyla; Bovidae
Rfam family: tRNA
About the family: Transfer RNA (tRNA) molecules are approximately 80 nucleotides in length. Their secondary structure includes four short double-helical elements and three loops (D, anti-codon, and T loops).
Source: Rfam by way of RNAcentral